This is a long non-coding RNA of Photinus pyralis (common eastern firefly), 682 nucleotides long. RefSeq lists it as uncharacterized. The record is from RefSeq and is a predicted model, not a curated record. NCBI's taxonomy places the organism in Eukaryota, Metazoa, Arthropoda, Insecta, Coleoptera, Lampyridae. The transcript is spliced from 3 exons.
GAGUUUACCAGCAACAGAUUGGUCCUUCAAGAUCUCGUAAUUCAAACCAUUCACAAUUACACAUGGUUCAAUUCGAGAUUUCACACUUACCAUUCGAGCAAGAAGCACAAGCAUUUCGGCUACUGAUUACCACAUACCUGAGAAUUCUGCCGUCAGACUGGUUUGAUGCAAAUGAUUUUUCUUCGGUACGCCACUGACCUGUAUAAGGGAUUUUGGUAUUGGCUGUCAUCUUUGGAGUGGUUACUCUUGUUAUCGGUGGCUAUGCUCAAUUGAAGCGUUUUACGGAUUUGUAUUUGCAUAUAAUCACUACGAGAAUAAUUCCCCAUAAGAAAGCCUUACUGAAAAAAUGAGGCGGCCUGGUGUUUUUAAAUUAAGCUUUGAGCAGUAAUGUUAAUCCGAGUAAUGGUAAUGAGUAAGUUGAAUAUAGUGAUACUAGGUGUUCACAAGGAAAUAAAGUUUCUGAAUUUCAUAGUCAUAUUUUUCGAAAUGGAACUACCACUAUUUUAUUUCGCUGUUCGAUAGUCUUUUGGGGAAGGUAAGGGCAUAACUGGCAUAGCCCUUAGGCGAAAAAAAGUGUAAAUCUGUCUCUGCAUCAACCAGUUCGUUCCAGUUAUGACCAGGUUAAAGUAAGUGAUCCUGACUCAAUUAUGCCGUAAAACGUCGUUGGAUGUUGAAUAGCGAG